RNAcentral lists this unclassified non-coding RNA (302 nucleotides) under uncultured fungus. RNAcentral's name for it is "partial contains small subunit ribosomal RNA, internal transcribed spacer 1, and 5.8S ribosomal RNA". The stretch from base 1 to 73 matches the Rfam family "Eukaryotic small subunit ribosomal RNA", at positions 1759 to 1831 of the family's 1831-position model. The record is from RNAcentral. Lineage: Eukaryota; Fungi.
GCAAACUUGGUCAUUUAGAGGAAGUAAAAGUCGUAACAAGGUUUCCGUAGGUGAACCUGCGGAAGGAUCAUUACCAAAGGUUAAUAAAGUGUCACCUCUGUGGGUGGCAUGAAUAACCAAAAAAAGAUCAAACCCACUUUUGUGCACUCAUUGGAGUCGUGGAUCCUUUUUUUUUUUGGAUUCGCGGCUCCCAACCUCUUUUUUCUCUACUACUUUUGUUGUCUGAGUUUGAUGAAAACAAAUAUAUAUAUACAACUUUCAACAACGGAUCUCUUGGCUCUCGCAUCGAUGAAGAACGCAGC